GCCGUGAGGUGUUGGGUUAAGUCCCGCAACGAGCGCAACCCUCGUCUUUAGUUGCCAUCAUUUAGUUGGGCACUCUAAAGAAACCGCCGGUGAUAAGCCGGAGGAAGGUGGGGAUGACGUCAAGUCCUCAUGGCCCUUACGCGCUGGGCUACACACGUGCUACAAUGGCGGUGACAGUGGGCAGCAAUCCCGCGAGGGUGAGCUAAUCUCCAAAAGCCGUCUCAGUUCGGAUUGUUCUCUGCAACUCGAGAGCAUGAAGGCGGAAUCGCUAGUAAUCGCGGAUCAGCACGCCGCGGUGAAUACGUUCCCAGGCCUUGUACACACCGCCCGUCACACCAUGGGAGUUGGAUUGACCCGAAGGCAGUGAGCUAACCCGCAAGGGAGGCAGCUGACCACGGUCGGUUCAGCGACUGGGGUGAAGUCGUAACAAGGUAGCCGUAGGGGAACCUGCGGCUGGAUCACCUCCUUUCUAAGGAAUAAGGCGUACUGCGCCGGGCUCGUCCCGGAAAUGCGUCGCCCGCUCCAAAGAACAUUAGCCGCCGUCCUCAUGUCCCUUCAUCCUGGAGAUCAGCCUCGCAAGAGGCUGUAAACGCCUGAGCUGGCUUACGCCGCCUGCGGCCAUGUGGCCGGCCGGGCGACGGGGCCGGUAGCUCAGGUGGUUAGAGCGCACGCCUGAUAAGCGUGAGGUCGUAGGUUCAACUCCUACUCGGCCCACCAUUUCUGUGCUGUGCGCGGCACGUUCCCGGCGCAUGGCUUUCAGGGGCCAUAGCUCAGUUGGGAGAGCGCUAGCUUUGCAAGCUUGAGGUCGUCGGUUCGAUCCCGACUGGCUCCACCAGCCCUCACCGGCUGGCUGACAUAUCUCCAGGUAUGAAGACCGAAAUUCGCGGCCCACGGGCCGCGAUGCCGGAGCGGAAACGCUCCUCUUUGACAUUGUGAAUGGGUUCUAGAAAUCGAUGCCGCGGCGGCAUGGGUUUCUUUCGUGCGUUCGGGCGACCGGGCGUGGGGGAGAGGCGCGUGCUGCUGCAAAAUGAUUAUCUAGCUGAGUAGAAGUGGCCGUCCUUUUGGGCGGCUGCGACGGGUAGCGUCUCGAGACAAGCAAGAUCUCGAGGAGGAGCGCCCGGCACUCCGACGACAUUACCGAGUUCCAAAAUUGUCGUUGGUGGUGUGGAUUCUCAAGCGUGAGGUAAGGGCAAUUGGUGGAUGCCUUGGCAUACACAGGCGAUGAAGGACGUGGCACGCUGCGAUAAGCUGCGGUGAGGUGUGAGCAACCUUUGACCCGCAGAUUU
RNAcentral lists this small RNA (1286 nucleotides) under uncultured Sphingomonas sp. Its description in RNAcentral is "bacterial SSU rRNA". The stretch from base 1 to 469 matches the Rfam family "Bacterial small subunit ribosomal RNA", at positions 1064 to 1533 of the family's 1533-position model. The record is from RNAcentral. Lineage: Bacteria; Pseudomonadati; Pseudomonadota; Alphaproteobacteria; Sphingomonadales; Sphingomonadaceae.